RNAcentral lists this ribosomal RNA (407 nucleotides) under uncultured bacterium. RNAcentral's name for it is "bacterial SSU rRNA". It matches the Rfam family "Bacterial small subunit ribosomal RNA", at positions 358 to 782 of the family's 1533-position model. The record is from RNAcentral.
GGAAUAUUGCACAAUGGAGGAAACUCUGAUGCAGCAACGCCGCGUGGAGGAUGACGCAUUUCGGUGUGUAAACUCCUUUUAAGAGGGAAGAUAAUGACGGUACCUCUUGAAUAAGCACCGGCUAACUCCGUGCCAGCAGCCGCGGUAAUACGGAGGGUGCAAGCGUUACUCGGAAUCACUGGGCGUAAAGGGUGCGUAGGCUGGCUUCUAAGUCAGAUGUGAAAUCCAAUGGCUUAACCAUUGAACUGCAUUUGAAACUGGGAGCCUAGAGUUCAGAAGGGGCAGAUGGAAUUAGUGGUGUAGGGGUAAAAUCCGUAGAUAUCACUAGGAAUAUCAAAAGCGAAGGCGAUCUGCUGGGAUGAUACUGACGCUGAGGCACGAAAGCGUGGGGAGCAAACAGGAUUAGA